RNAcentral lists this long non-coding RNA (1946 nucleotides) under Theobroma cacao (cacao). RNAcentral's name for it is "long non-coding RNA (TCAC_LNC002502)". The record is from RNAcentral. Lineage: Eukaryota; Viridiplantae; Streptophyta; Magnoliopsida; Malvales; Malvaceae.
AACUUUUUCUUCUUCCUCCUCCCAUCUCACGUUUCUCUCCUCUUCCAUGAAAGCUUCUCUCAAGCUUCCAUCACUCUCUCAAACUAACCUUAAUUUUCAUGUUUUACACACCCUGUUGUGGGGUUUUUCAUACUCUUUUACUCCUUCACCUUAAACAAACCCUUAAAAGUCUUUCUUCAAUACUUUCUCUCACCAAUUGAACUUUGUAAAGAGAGAAAGAGAGGUUUCAUGUUAGCUUGAGGACUCUUGGGAAGAAAUUUCAUUACAAUCACCAAGGUGAGUGAUGAAUUAGGACUGGUUUUAAGUUGUUGAUGAUGGCUAGUAAUUAGAGUUAUGAGUUAUGUUAUUUGUUGAAAUUGUUUAUCUAUUUCUAGUGUUACUAAAGUAGAGAAAUGAAAUAGCCAAUCAAAUGGUAAUUGGAAGAUAGAUAGGAAAGGCUAUUGAAGCUUGAUUUGCGAAACAAGUUUUGGAGUGGUAUUAAUGUAAAUUGGAUUGGCUGUGAUGUUUUUGUGCGUGAUAGGUUCCAAUAAGGCCCUUUAGCCCCAUUUGGACCAUUAAGGAGGUUAGAGUCAAUUAAAAGUUCAACAAAUACCGGUGAGUGAACUUGCAUUAAAAUGUUUUUGGAUAUACACGUUUAUGUUUGAUUAAAUCCCCUAAAACAUUUUAUUGGUUUUCCUUCAAAAACUCGUACCAGAAUAAGCCCUUAUGAAAUGUUUUUAUGUUAUAAAACAGAUAGUGUGAUGAAUCCAUGUGUUUUUGUAUAAUGUUGAUAUAUAUAUAUAUAUAUAUAUAUAUAUAUACUAUGUCAUAAAUGGUACAUUGUGUGUCAAAAUGUAACCGUGCAUGUGCGAGGUGAGUGUGCACCUACUAGUAAUGACGGUGGUGAGGGAAAUGGAUGGUGAUAUUGCCUGUGUGCACGAUGUGGGGGGAUGCAUAUGAUGAUGAUAUCACUUGUGCAAGAUGUGGGGGGAUGCAUAAAGCGAUGAUAUUACUUGUGCACAAUGUGGGGGGAUGCACACGAUGACUUCUGCUAUGUGCACAAUGUAGGGGGAUUCACAUGAGCUGGGUAAGAUGAGGUGUUCGGGUAUGUCCACAAUGUGGGGGGAUGCACAUGGGUUGGGUGAGACGAGGUGUCUGGCUAUGUGCUUGAUGUGGGGGAACGCACAUGAGCUGGGUGAGACGAGAUGUCCGACUAUGUGCACGAUGUGGGGGGAUACACAUGAGCUAGGUGAGAAGGUGGUGUAUGUGCUUAUAUAUAUAUAUAUAUAUAUUUACUAUAUAGAGCUGUUUGUAUUUAAUAUGUGAUUGCAUUGACUGUUGAAAACUUGAGUAUUGUCAAUGUGUUCAAUUUAAUGUGCAAUGUGGCAUAAGUUGAUUUUUCUGGUGGCAGUGAAAGCCCCUUGGCUUUUAUCUUGCCAGAAUUUUGUUGUAGUGAAAAUGCCUUUUCGCUGCGGUGAGAGUCAAUCUCUUAUGCUUGACUUGCUUGAACUCUACUAAAGUUUUAACUUCUCAACUUCUUUGUUGUUCAUAAGUCUUUCGUCAUCAAGUGACUAAACGACCAAGGGUUUGAAUGAGGGGUUUUUAAAUAGAAAUAAACUAAAUUGCAUUGUUUUGAACUUAAGUGCAUCAUGAUUUCUAAACUUCCUUAUCGUUGCUUGUUCCCUUCCUAUGUUCACUCAGUGAUUUUAUACUCACUUUUUUAAACUUCAUGGUUUAGGUUCUCUGAGUUAAAGGUGACUGGAUCCUAGGACGAGGUGCUCCUCCCUAUCCAUUGCUCGGUAGGUUUGUCAUGAUACUAAAUGUAGCACCCACGCCAAGAGUCACUCCACUGACGGUCAGAGUCUUUGAAUGUGUACAUGUAAACUGGAUGUAACUUGCUAAGAAUCGUAUGGCAAACUAUUUAUGUAUAUUUUGAUUAAUGAAUACCAUUAUGAGUAUAUACCUGG